AGGGUUUGAUCAUGGCUCAGAACGUACGCUGGCGGCACGCCUAAUACAUGCAAGUCGAACGGAGUAGCAAUACUUAGUGGCAGACGGGUGAGUAACAUGUAGGUAUCUUCCCUUUGGUGAGGAAUAACACGAGGAAACUUGUGCUAAUACCUCAUAAGUCUUUACGGAGAAAGCUUUAUGCGCCAAUGGAUGAGCCUGCACUUGAUUAGUUUGUUGGUGGGGUAAUGGCCUACCAAGACAAUGAUCAAUAGCUGAUUUGAGAGGAUGAUCAGCCACAUUGGGACUGAGACACGGCCCAAACUCCUACGGGAGGCAGCAGUAGGGAAUCUUGCACAAUGGGGGAAACCCUGAUGCAGCGAUGCCGCGUGAGUGAAGAAGGCCUUUGGGUUGUAAAGCUCUUUCGUCGGGGAAGAAAAUGACUGUACCCGAAUAAGAAGGUCCGGCUAACUUCGUGCCAGCAGCCGCGGUAAUACGAAGGGACCUAGCGUAGUUCGGAAUUACUGGGCUUAAAGAGUUCGUAGGUGGUUAAAAAAGUUGGUGGUGAAAUCCCAGAGCUUAACUCUGGAACUGCCAUCAAAACUUUUUAGCUAGAGUAUGAUAGAGGAAAGCAGAAUUUCUAGUGUAGAGGUGAAAUUCGUAGAUAUUAGAAAGAAUACCAAUUGCGAAGGCAGCUUUCUGGAUCAUUACUGACACUGAGGAACGAAAGCAUGGGUAGCGAAGAGGAUUAGAUACCCUCGUAGUCCAUGCCGUAAACGAUGUGUGUUAGACGUUGGAAAUUUAUUUUCAGUGUCGCAGCGAAAGCAAUAAACACACCGCCUGGGGAGUACGACCGCAAGGUUAAAACUCAAAUGAAUUGACGGGACCCGCACAAGUAGUGGAGCAUGUGGUUUAAUUCGAAGAUACGCGCAGAACCUUACCAACACUUGACAUGUUCGUCGCGACUUUAAGAGAUUAAAGUUUUCGGUUCGGCCGGACGAAACACAGGUGCUGCAUGGCUGUCGUCAGCUCGUGUCGUGAGAUGUUGGGUUAAGUCCCGCAACGAGCGCAACCCUCACUUUUAGUUGCCAUCAUUUAGUUGGGCACUCUGAAAGAACUGCCAGUGAUAAGCUGGAGGAAGGUGGGGAUGACGUCAAGUCCUCAUGGCCCUUACGUGUUGGGCUACACACGUGCUACAAUGGCAUUUACAAUAGGAAGCAAGACGGCGACGUUAAGCAAAUCCUAAAAAAAUGCCUCAGUUCGGAUUGUACUCUGCAACUCGAGUACAUGAAGCUGGAAUUACUAGUAAUCGCGGAUCAGCGCGCCGCGGUGAAUACGUUCCCGGGUCUUGUACACACCGCCCGUCACACCAUGGGAGUUGGUUCUACCUUAAGGCAAAGGUUAAAAACUUUGACCACGGUAUAGUCAGCGACUGGGGUGAAGUCGUAACAAGGUAGCCGUA
This 1438-nucleotide ribosomal RNA is filed under the name uncultured bacterium. RNAcentral describes it as "bacterial SSU rRNA". It matches the Rfam family "Bacterial small subunit ribosomal RNA". The record is from RNAcentral.